AGAGUUUGAUCAUGGCUCAGGAUGAAUGCUGGCGGCGUGCCUAAUACAUGCAAGUCGAGCGGUAAGGCCCUUCGGGGUACACGAGCGGCGGACGGCUGAGUAACGCGUGGGAACAUGCCCCAAAGUGAGGGAUAACGCACCGAAAGGUGUGCUAAUACCGCAUAUGGUCUUCGGAUUAAAGGAUUUUAUCCGCUUUGGGAGUGGCCCGCGUACGAUUAGAUUGUUGGUGAGGUAACGGCUCACCAAGUCGACGAUCGUUAACUGGUCUGAGAGGAUGAUCAGUCAGACUGGAACUUGAGACACGGUUCCAGACUCCUACGGGAGGCAGCAGUAAGGAAUCUUCCACAAUGGGCGAAAGCCUGAUGGAGCAACGCCGCGUGCAGGAUGAAGGCCCUCGGGUCGUAAACUGCUUUUAUGAGUGAAGAAUAUGACGGUAACUCAUGAAUAAGCACCGGCUAACUACGUG
RNAcentral lists this ribosomal RNA (466 nucleotides) under uncultured bacterium. Its description in RNAcentral is "bacterial SSU rRNA". It matches the Rfam family "Bacterial small subunit ribosomal RNA", at positions 8 to 507 of the family's 1533-position model. The record is from RNAcentral.